CGCGGGGUGGAGCAGCCUGGUAGCUCGUCGGGCUCAUAACCCGAAGGUCGCAGGUUCAAAUCCUGCCCCCGCAACUC
This 77-nucleotide transfer RNA is filed under the name Allostigmatella aurantiaca DW4/3-1. Its description in RNAcentral is "Stigmatella aurantiaca DW4/3-1 tRNA-Met". It matches the Rfam family "tRNA". Rfam says of the family: Transfer RNA (tRNA) molecules are approximately 80 nucleotides in length. Lineage: Bacteria; Pseudomonadati; Myxococcota; Myxococcia; Myxococcales; Archangiaceae. The record is from RNAcentral.